GAUGAACGCUGGCGGCGUGCCUAAUACAUGCAAGUCGAGCGAACAGACGAGAGUGCUUGCACUCUCUGACGUUAGCGGCGGACGGGUGAGUAACACGUGGGUAACCUACCUAUAAGACUGGGAUAACUUCGGGAAACCGGAGCUAAUACCGGAUAAUAUUUAGCUUCGCAUGAAGCAAUAGUGAAAGACGGUUCUGCUGUCACUUAUAGAUGGACCCGCGGUGUAUUAGCUAGUUGGUGAGGUAACGGCUCACCAAGGCAACGAUACAUAGCCGACCUGAGAGGGUGAUCGGCCACACUGGGACUGAGACGCGGCCCAGACUCCUACGGGAGGCAGCAGUAGGGAAUCUUCCGCAAUGGACGAAAGUCUGACGGAGCAAUGCCGCGUGAGUGAAGAAGGUGUUCGGAUCGUAAAACUCUGUCGUAAGGGAAGAACAAGUACGUUAGUAACUGAACGUACCUUGACGGUACCUUACCAGAAAGCCACGGCUAACUACGUG
Molecule: ribosomal RNA, 499 nt
Filed under: uncultured bacterium
Lineage: Bacteria
Description: partial 16S ribosomal RNA
Rfam family: Bacterial small subunit ribosomal RNA
Source: RNAcentral